Gorilla gorilla gorilla (western lowland gorilla) is the source of this 709-nucleotide long non-coding RNA. RefSeq lists it as uncharacterized. The record is from RefSeq and is a predicted model, not a curated record. The transcript is spliced from 3 exons. Lineage: Eukaryota; Metazoa; Chordata; Mammalia; Primates; Hominidae.
AAAGGCCCUGCCUCCUUAUACCAUCACACUGGGGGGUUAGGGUUGCAGCAUAUGAAUUGGAAACUAGGGAACACAUUUUGUCUAUGGUACUAACCCACAUCCAAUUCAUGAGCAAAUCCAUAGGCUCCACCUUCAACAUUUAUUCAGAAGUUAACUUUGAUCACCACCUCCACAGCCACCAUCUUAGUCCAGGACAUCAUCAUCUCUUACUUGGAUUAUUGCAGUAGCUUAACUUGUCUCCCUGACUGUGCCAUUUCUAAGGCAGUCUGUUCUCAACCCAGCAGCUCUUCUGUCAGUUUGCCAGGACUUAGACUUCUAUGAAUCCAUGAAUGUGGGCUGGCUCUGCGAACACUGCUGUGAAGGCUACAUUUUUUGCGGACCACCUAGGCACAGUUCUGGAGGCGAGCAAGUCCAAGAUCAAAGCACUGGCAGCUUCUUUGAGGGUCUGUUCCAGUGAAAGCAUCUUCUUGCAACAACAUCCUCACAUGACAGAGGGGGGAAGGGCAACAGGACAUGAAUGCUGUGCCCUCACCUGGUGAAGAGAGGAAGAGCAAAAGGGUCUCAGCUAGCUCCCUCCAGCCCUUUUCUAAGGUGCUAAUUCAUUCAUGAGUUAACCACUUCCCAAAAGGCCCUACUUCUCACUACUACCACAAUGGGGAUUAAGUUUCAACGCAUGAAUUUGGGGGGACAUUGAAACCACAGCAUCUCU